GGAGGUUUAGCUCAGCAGCAUAAGCACCUGCCUUGUAAGCAGGCAGUCGUGAGUUCGGUCCCCGGUACCUCUA
Cavia porcellus (domestic guinea pig) is the source of this 73-nucleotide transfer RNA. It matches the Rfam family "tRNA". From Rfam's summary of the family: Transfer RNA (tRNA) molecules are approximately 80 nucleotides in length. Their secondary structure includes four short double-helical elements and three loops (D, anti-codon, and T loops). NCBI's taxonomy places the organism in Eukaryota, Metazoa, Chordata, Mammalia, Rodentia, Caviidae. The record is from Rfam.